GUAUGUAUAUCAUAUAUGUAGUUUCAAACAUAAAAUAGAAGCAUCUUCAGGGACAUCAAUACAGUCAGAAUUGAAGGAGGAAAAGGCCAAAAAAAUAACACUAGUUCAGGAUUACAGGAUUAAUUCAGAUUUAUGUUACUCACUUCAUGUGCCAACAACAUGAACCUUUUAUUUGUCAAAACAUGAUGGUACGGCUAUUUUCUUCUUUGUGAGAUUUGUUUUCCAGUGGAACAAAAUUUUAGGUUUAAAUGUGUUCUCAGUAUGUAUAUCAUAUAUGUAGUUUCAAACAUAAAAUAGAAGCAUCAUCAGGGACAUCUACACAGUCAGAAUUGAAGGAUGAAAAGACGGAAAAAGAAGAGUAGUUCCGGAUUACAGGAUUAAUUCAGAUUUAUGUUACUCACUUCAUGUGCCCACAAUAUGAACGUUUUAGUUGUCAAAGCAUGAUGGUAGUGUAAGAUUCUCUCACUACAAAUUGUUUGCCUGGCUUGAUUGAGUGCUCCGCUAUCCUCCUCUAUCACAUGCACUCGUUAAUGAUGAACAUUAGUGAGCAUGCUGCACAAGGCUUUUACUGUUUUUGUAUCUCUGCUGCAACUUUUCUUCUUAUUGAGUAAUCCGUAUGUUUGCAGAAAUUCACACUUCCUAUGCAGGAUCCAUAUAAUUGUAUCAAAAGACCUUCACUGAUGAGCUGAACUGAAAUUUAAUUGCAUAAUCUGAAUAAACAUUGUCAUGCCUGAUGAAAAACGCGCACACAUGAAAACCAGUGGCAUGCUGCACUUGCCCAAUGCUUUUACCUUUAUUAUAUUUUUUAUUCCUGCUGGAACUUAUAACACUUGGGCAAUCAGUAUAUGUAGACUACUCCACAAAUUGGUGCAUUUGUAUGGUUUAAGGAUCCUAUAGAUUUCUUGAUCAUAAAGUUCUAGGAGAGAGAGAGAGUAACCUAAAGACUGGAGAUUUGUAUGAGAUCUACUUCCUGUUUUCUGUCCGACAUAAUUUCUCUUUACAAAAACUUCAUUAUUCACAUUUUCGGAGGAUCCAAUCUCUUGUAUUGAACACUAGUGUUGAUAAGCUGAUUCCAUGAUCUGAAUGAAAUAUUAUUUUGACUGAA
Molecule: long non-coding RNA, 1105 nt
Organism: Neltuma alba
Lineage: Eukaryota; Viridiplantae; Streptophyta; Magnoliopsida; Fabales; Fabaceae
Exons: 2
Source: RefSeq, a predicted model, not a curated record